RNAcentral lists this ribosomal RNA (1346 nucleotides) under uncultured bacterium. RNAcentral's name for it is "partial 16S ribosomal RNA". It matches the Rfam family "Bacterial small subunit ribosomal RNA", at positions 28 to 1381 of the family's 1533-position model. The record is from RNAcentral.
GACAAACGCUUGCGGCGUGCUUAACACAUGCAAGUCGAACGGAAAGGCCCUGCUUUUGUGGGGUGCUCGAGUGGCGAACGGGUGAGUAACACGUGAGUAACCUGCCCUUGACUUUGGGAUAACUUCAGGAAACUGGGGCUAAUACCGGAUAGGAGCUCCUGCUGCAUGGUGGGGGUUGGAAAGUUUCGGCGGUUGGGGAUGGACUCGCGGCUUAUCAGCUUGUUGGUGGGGUAGUGGCUUACCAAGGCUUUGACGGGUAGCCGGCCUGAGAGGGUGACCGGCCACAUUGGGACUGAGAUACGGCCCAGACUCCUACGGGAGGCAGCAGUGGGGAAUAUUGCACAAUGGGCGGAAGCCUGAUGCAGCAACGCCGCGUGCGGGAUGACGGCCUUCGGGUUGUAAACCGCUUUCGCCUGUGACGAAGCGUGAGUGACAGUAAUGGGUAAAGAAGCACCGGCUAACUACGUGCCAGCAGCCGCGGUGAUACGUAGGGUGCGAGCGUUGUCCGGAUUUAUUGGGCGUAAAGGGCUCGUAGGUGGUUGAUCGCGUCGGAAGUGUAAUCUUGGGGCUUAACCCUGAGCGUGCUUUCGAUACGGGUUGACUUGAGGAAUUUAGGGGAGAAUGGAAUUCCUGGUGGAGCGGUGGAAUGCGCAGAUAUCAGGAGGAACACCAGUGGCGAAGGCGGUUCUCUGGGCCUUUCCUGACGCUGAGGAGCGAAAGCGUGGGGAGCGAACAGGCUUAGAUACCCUGGUAGUCCACGCUGUAAACGGUGGGUACUAGGUGUGGGGUCCAUUCCACGGGUUCCGUGCCGUAGCUAACGCUUUAAGUACCCCGCCUGGGGAGUACGGCCGCAAGGCUAAAACUCAAAGGAAUUGACGGGGCCCCGCACAAGCGGCGGAGCAUGCGGAUUAAUUCGAUGCAACGCGUAGAACCUUACCUGGGUUUGACAUGGAUCGGGAGUGCUCAGAGAUGGGUGUGCCUCUUUUGGGGUCGGUUCACAGGUGGUGCAUGGCUGUCGUCAGCUCGUGUCGUGAGAUGUUGGGUUAAGUCCCGCAACGAGCGCAACCCUUGUUCACUGUUGCCAGCACGUUAUGGUGGGGACUCAGUGGAGACCGCCGGGGUCAACUCGGAGGAAGGUGGGGAUGACGUCAAGUCAUCAUGCCCCUUAUGUCCAGGGCUUCACGCAUGCUACAAUGGCUGGUACAGAGAGUGGCGAGCCUGUGAGGGUGAGCGAAUCUCGGAAAGCCGGUCUCAGUUCGGAUUGGGGUCUGCAACUCGACCUCAUGAAGUCGGAGUCGCUAGUAAUCGCAGAUCAGCAACGCUGCGGUGAAUACGUUCCCGGGGCU